This 187-nucleotide ribosomal RNA is filed under the name uncultured Cellulosilyticum sp. Its description in RNAcentral is "partial 16S ribosomal RNA". It matches the Rfam family "Bacterial small subunit ribosomal RNA", at positions 325 to 525 of the family's 1533-position model. The record is from RNAcentral. Lineage: Bacteria; Bacillati; Bacillota; Clostridia; Lachnospirales; Cellulosilyticaceae.
GGGGCCCGGGGGGCCUACGGGAGGCAGCAGUGGGGAAUAUUGCUCAUUGGGGCGCAAGCCUGAUGCAGCGACGCCGCGUGAAGGAAGAAGGUCUUCGGAUUGUAAACUUCUAUCAGCAGGGAAGAAAAAAAUGACGGUACCUGACUAAGAAGCUCCGGCUAACUACGUGCCAGCAGCCGCGGUAAAA